GCCGAGGCCGGAGGAUGAGCUCCGCGGGGUCCGGAUUUAUGAAAAUAUGCAUCAGCUUCAUACUGUCUUGGAAUUCAUGAGAUGGAAGCAUAGGUCAAAGCUGUUUGAAGAAAAUUGGAAGUGCACUUUAAUAGCCACAUCUCCAAGGAAUCAGAAGAAAGCAGUGGGAGGUGGAGUCAUUGUUCAAGUGAUUUCAUCCUCAACAAGAAAAUUUCAUUGAGUAAAGUCAUUUGAAUUAGUGGAAUAACAGUUAUUCAAGGUGACAGUGUACAGAAUAUUAAAAUUGAACAAUGACUCAAAAAAACAAAAAAAAGUAAAGGCCAAUACAUCCAUAAAAUGCCUUCUAGCCAAGCAUAGUGGUGCAAGCCUAUAAUCCCAGCACUUGGGAGGCUGAAGCAGGAGGAUUGCUGUGAAUUCAAAGCCAGCCUGAAUUAUACAGUGAGAUGCUGUCUCAAAAACAAAACUAAACCCCAGACACCUUCUAAAAUCAAGCAUGGUGGAUGUUACAUACACUUGUCCCAGGAUGGGGGACAGGUGAAUUUGCUUACAGUGAGUAGAAGUAUGAAAAAAUAAAAAAUAAAAAACCUGGCAUAAAGCUCUUCAAUAAUGUUACAUUUCCAGCCUUUGGAUCAGUCUUGGUUAUUGCAAGACUUCUGACUUCCUUAAUUUUUACAGUAGGAAAUCCUAUAUACUAAGAAAAACAAAAGAAAGCCAGAAGACUGAAAUUCUCUUAAAAUCUAAUCAGAUAACAUCACAUGUAUUUUGUAAGCAGCUUCAUUGAGGGAAAGCCUAUUUUCAGAGGAACCUACAAAGGUGAAGAUCAUGAUGUAAUAGCCUUGGGGAUAACCUAGAAUGAUUCUCAUGUCCUGAGAUUCUCCUCCCACGCCCAAUGGGAGACGAACUGAUCACCCAAGUGAGCGUGCGAACUUCUGAGGCCAGAUAAUAAAGGCCAUGCUCUUCGCAAUCUCUUGCUCUGCGGGAAGCCAGCUGCAUGGGUACAGGGACCCCAGAAGUCAGACCUAUGUGCAGAGGGGCUCGUGGAAGCCUGCCAAGCACUGGCAGCCGAGGGAACCCCUCAGAGCCCUUGUGAGCCCUGAGAAGCGUCAGUGACCAGUCACAGCCAACUGAAGAUUGUGAGAAAAUCCAGCUGGCAUUAUCCAAAGAAGCUGAGCUGUAACACAUGUUUAUUAUUGUGGAGCCACAAAGGUUUGUGGUCAUUUCUUUUACAGCAUAGAUACCUGAUGUACAUGCUACUUUUUCUUUUUCCUAUUGGUGCUGGAAUUGAAUACAGGGCUUCAUGCAUACUAAGCACGUGCUCGACCACUGAGCUACACUCCCAGCCCCUACAUGC
RNAcentral lists this long non-coding RNA (1351 nucleotides) under Heterocephalus glaber (naked mole-rat). Its description in RNAcentral is "lncRNA (ENSHGLG00000032234.1)". Lineage: Eukaryota; Metazoa; Chordata; Mammalia; Rodentia; Bathyergidae. The record is from RNAcentral.